Molecule: long non-coding RNA, 1170 nt
Filed under: Homo sapiens (human)
Lineage: Eukaryota; Metazoa; Chordata; Mammalia; Primates; Hominidae
Description: HSALNT0086232
Source: RNAcentral
CCUGCCUCAGCCUCCCAAGUAGCUGGUACUACAGGCGCCCACCACCAUGCCCGGCUAACUUUUUUUGUAUUUUUUAGUAGAGACAGGGUUUCACCGUGUUAGCCAGGAUGGCCUCGAUCUCCUGACCUCGUGAUCUGCCCGCCUCGGCUUCCCAAAGUGCUGGGAUUACAGGCGUGAGCCACUGCGCCCGGCCAGUUUCCCAUUUUCUGCCUCUGCCCAGUUCCUCAAUGCAAUGGAUCCAGAUGUCUGCCUUAUGCAACCACUACCUGGUGACCACUCCCUCCCAGGGACAACAGGAUACAACCCACUUCAUUGGUCCCACUGAUCCCCGCACUGCACUUUGUACAUAUGCUGCAGUCCCAUUGUGACUCCGGAGAUCUGCCACCUGCUUGCUGUUAACCUGCCAGGUAGAACUCCCUGCAGGAAACUCACCUGAGGAACAUCCUGGAGCCCAAACCCACAGGUUUCUCUGUCUGUCUAUUGCUCCCCACUUGUUGAUGGAGCGCACAUGUCCCAAGAUAGCACCCUCCUUCCAUUAGCCCUGUGUGUGAGGCAGUCACCCGCUUCCCUCUGGGAUCUGUAAGUCAUAAACUACUUCUGUUAUUUCAUAUGUUUCAUUGAGAUGUCGCUUUUACAUCUCACCUAACUGCCACGCAGAACCCAGCUCCUUUCCCGGCCAGGGCUCUCCUAGGGAGUGGUGGUCUUGGCAGGAAUAAACUGGACAGAGGUCAGACAAGAGCCGCAAGUGUGUCUGCCAGGAUAAACAAGUCUAUCCUGUGAGAGGGACAGCUGAUAGAGAGUUGGACACAGGCAUCAGGUCAGCUGCUAAAAUUGAGAGGAGUCCCCUAAAAGGCACAUCAUAAACAUCGUGAUCAAAUCUCCUGAAGACCUGUCAGGGCUCGGCUAGUUUACAGCCACUCUCUGGAGGAAGACCUCAGGACCAGAUGAGAGAAAAGUAGAAGGCGGCUCUCUCCUGGCCUUUGCGGUUGCGUGUCCCCGUCCUGCACAAGACCCUUUGGAUUCCUUGACCCUCUCUCCGCUCCUCCAGACCACUCUUGGGGCAUUUUUGGAGCAGCCGCCUGCCUUGGCCUCCCAAAGUGCCGAGAUUGCAGCCUCUGCCCGGCCGCCACCGCGUCUGGGAAGUGAGGAGUGUCUCUGCCUGGCCGCCCA